Rhincodon typus (whale shark) is the source of this 350-nucleotide long non-coding RNA. RefSeq lists it as uncharacterized. NCBI's taxonomy places the organism in Eukaryota, Metazoa, Chordata, Chondrichthyes, Orectolobiformes, Rhincodontidae. The record is from RefSeq and is a predicted model, not a curated record. The transcript is spliced from 4 exons.
CAUCUACAAGACUGCUUUACUGCACUGCAGGAGUGCUACUCAGACGACUAGAGGCAGAUCCAGAUCUCCAAGGCGUGUCCCAUGUUAUUGUAGAUGAAGUUCAUGAAAGAACAGAGGAAAGUGACUUUUUGCUGUUGGUGCUGAAGGAUCUGAUCAUGGCUCGGCAUGAUCUGCGCAUUAUCCUGAUGAGUGCAACUCUGAAUGCACAGCUAUUUACAGAGUACUUCAAUUCUUGCCCCAGUAUUCAUAUUCCAGGACAUACUUUUCCAGUGGCUCAGUACUUCCUGGAAGAUACACUUACUAUGACUAGCAGGUUGACCAGAAUUGUACUCAGUACUACAAAAGUGGCC